Molecule: microRNA precursor, 70 nt
Filed under: Marmota monax (woodchuck)
Lineage: Eukaryota; Metazoa; Chordata; Mammalia; Rodentia; Sciuridae
Source: RNAcentral
UCUCUCUCUCUCUCUCUCUCUCUCUCUGUGUGUGUGUGUGAGAGAGAGAGAGAGAGAGGAGAGAGAGAGA